GACGAACGCUGGCGGCGUGCUUAACACAUGCAAGUCGAACGGAAAGGCCCUGCUUUUGUGGGGUGCUCGAGUGGCGAACGGGUGAGUAACACGUGAGUAACCUGCCCUUGACUUUGGGAUAACUUCAGGAAACUGGGGCUAAUACCGGAUAGGAGCUCCUGCUGCAUGGUGGGGGUUGGAAAGUUUCGGCGGUUGGGGAUGGACUCGCGGCUUAUCAGCUUGUUGGUGGGGUAGUGGCUUACCAAGGCUUUGACGGGUAGCCGGCCUGAGAGGGUGACCGGCCACAUUGGGACUGCGAUACGGCCCAGACGCCUACGGGAGGCAGCAGUGGGGAAUAUUGCACAACGGGCGGAAGCCUGAUGCAGCAACGGCGCGUGCGGGAUGACGGCCUUCGGGUUGUGAACCGCUUUCGCCUGUGACGAAGCGUGAGUGACGGUAAUGGGUAAAGAAGCACCGGCUAACUACGUG
This 468-nucleotide ribosomal RNA is filed under the name uncultured bacterium. RNAcentral's name for it is "partial 16S ribosomal RNA". It matches the Rfam family "Bacterial small subunit ribosomal RNA", at positions 28 to 507 of the family's 1533-position model. The record is from RNAcentral.